AGGGAAGGGUGCACCCACAGGCUCAGUCUUGAGACCUCUCUCCAGGCUCCUGGGGGGAUUGGGGAAGCUGAGCCUCCUUGCCUGCUCACAGCACACAUCCCCCACAAAUCUUGUUCUAUUCCAGAGUGGGAGAGGAACGUGAAAUCUGAUGAUCCCCGACGGCCAAGGCUGCCUUAUCAAGAUCCUGUUCACGAUUCAGCAAGAAAAGAUGCCUCCUGUGCCAGCAGCAGAGAAGGCUGCAGCCCUGGGCGUUCCCGGGAGAGUGAACAAUGGAAGCGCCCAGGAUGCCUCUAUGGGAGGUCACUCUACGGAAACAUCUAGAACUGGAGGCAAAACAUUUCAGCUUGUUCACCGUCAUACCACCCAUGGCUGGCCCAGAGGAGGCACUCAGCAAAUGAACAAGCCAAGCUGAAUGAAGAAGUGAACGUUCUGAAGACAGGAAGCUUACUGAAGCCUGGUUCGUCUUUACAUUCCCAGAGUCUAACAUCACACUUGGCACUAAUGGGGCACUUGAUAGAUGUUUAUUUUUGCAUGAAUGGCAUGUAAAUUAAUUACCUAAUCAAAUCAUCUGGAAGACAGGCAGUAAGAUUCAGAUGUAAAUACUACUGAUGAUUGCAUGCUUCUGCUCUGCAAGACUGGCUUCUUGUGACAUACUGAGAAUCGGUCACUGUGAAUCUGGGGAGUGUCCUUGUUUUGUGCUCUUCCCCCGAGGAGGGAUGGAUCCUUCCGUUAGUUCAAAAGUGGGCCUAUUCCUAACUGCCAGGCAUCCAGGAUGCCUUCUUUGCCCAUCUGUCUUUCUGAAGAGCUAGUUAAAGGGCUAAUCUGCUCUUAAUUCCUUUAGUGUGGUCUUCGAAUGAAAUGGUUUGAGUGGGUUUAGUCUCCAGAUAAACAGGGGCAGAAUAAGACUGUCUGGGACUGGCUUCAGCUCCGGGAUCAGCUCGCUUUGUAUCGCAUGACUUAGGGCAUGGAUCUCAGCAGGACAUCUGGGAUGUCUCUCAAUGACGAGAUCACACGGGGUGUUUUCGUACCUGGCCUAGUUGUAAUUCUUUGCGUAGCUUCAGGAUAUACUGAAGUAUUUGGGAAAAUAAAAGCUGCACCCCCUGCAGACAAAAGGAAAGACAAACAUGUGAAGGUCUUUUGUUGUGGUUGUCGAUCUCAACAUCAGUGCCAAAUCUACUUUUCCCUGUGAUAACAAAGGGAAGAGACCUCCUCAAACCUGCCUUAACAGAGCUCCGGAGAAAUGGACAGGUGCACGUGUCAGAUUCUCAAGGAGCCUUGGUGCACUCCUGUGCCCCAUUUGCUAUAAAGUGUUGUGUGUUUUGAUUUUAUAGCUUCUUGAUGAAGCCCUAUCUGUGUCCCCCUCAAUCCCACUUCCCACUGGGCAAUCUCAUUUUAUUAAAAAACUAUAUGGUGCAUGUUUUAUUUUUCAAUAAAAACCCAUAAUAUAUUUGUAUAUAUUGUAUAAAAACCCAUAAUAAAUUUUACAUAGCUCUUGGAAAGUAGGACCAAGCAAUUAUAAGUAUUUAGCCAAAGAGUAUACGGAUUUUAUUAAUGAUUAAUCCACAUCUCUAGUCAAAUGCGUUUUCCCUUUCUCUCUUUUGACCAAAACUCAUGUGGUUAGCUGAGAAAAUUCCCUUUUCAGAGUUCAGUCCAUUUGGAAUUUGUUGUCCUGUUCAUUGGUUGCUUCUGUGUUUAACAAUAGCAAAAUUAAUAAAUUUGGAGCUUUUUUUGAAACUUUCA
Molecule: non-coding RNA, 1740 nt
Organism: Macaca mulatta (Rhesus monkey)
Lineage: Eukaryota; Metazoa; Chordata; Mammalia; Primates; Cercopithecidae
Source: RefSeq, a predicted model, not a curated record